RNAcentral lists this ribosomal RNA (487 nucleotides) under uncultured bacterium. RNAcentral describes it as "bacterial SSU rRNA". It matches the Rfam family "Bacterial small subunit ribosomal RNA", at positions 30 to 507 of the family's 1533-position model. The record is from RNAcentral.
AUUGAACGCUGGCGGCAUGCUUUACACAUGCAAGUCGAACGGCAGCGCGGGGGCAACCCUGGCGGCGAGUGGCGAACGGGUGAGUAAUGUAUACGGAACGUAUCCUGUAAUGGGGGAUAACCAGUCGAAAGAUUGGGUAAUACCGCAUACGCACGAGAGUGGAAAGUAGGGGAUCGCAAGACCUUACGUUAUAGGAGCGGCCGAUAUCUGAUUAGCUAGUUGGUGGGGUAAAGGCCUACCAAGGCGACGAUCAGUAGCUGGUCUGAGAGGACGACCAGCCACACUGGGACUGAGACACGGCCCAGACUCCUACGGGAGGCAGCAGUGGGGAAUUUUGGACAAUGGGCGAAAGCCUGAUCCAGCCAUGCCGCGUGCAGGAAGAAGGCCUUCGGGUUGUAAACUGCUUUAGUCUAGGAAAAAAGGGGUGCGAGGUUAAUACCCUCGUGCUUUGAUGGUACUGGAAGAAUAAGCACCGGCUAACUACGUG